Molecule: long non-coding RNA, 620 nt
Filed under: Marmota monax (woodchuck)
Lineage: Eukaryota; Metazoa; Chordata; Mammalia; Rodentia; Sciuridae
Source: RNAcentral
GUAAUGUAAUUUGAAAUUCAAAAUUUUUUUUUCAGAGAAACAAGACCUUCUACAUGCUCAAUUAUGAUGGAUAUGCCUUUACAACAAUAUAUACAGCCAUCAAAUAUUCAUGUUUGAAUUUCAACCUGAUUUACUUCAAAAAAUAUACUCCUCAGUUGGGUGUGUAGAAUUUGGGAACAUAAACACCUCUUUACUGGAAACCAGGUGAGUUUUCCUUGGAUUGGUAGAAUUUCAGGUGGGGGUGGGUAGGGUUUAAGGUCACUAAAGGGACCCAGGAGUUUGGGGAACAAAACACGUUGGCGUUUUGGACUAUACUCACUGUAUUGUCCUUUGCAGAACCCCACAGGCAACCUGGGCUCCAGCUCCCUUCUGUGCUUGGGCCUCCAAGAGGAGCUCCAUGGCCUUGAUGUCUACUGUGAGCAGCUGAUUCUGAUGGGGGCGGUUCUCUCCUCUGGCUUACUGCUGAGCAGAAUAAAAUCUCACUUCUUUUUCCCAACAAAUGAAACAAGCACAGAGAACCCAUAGGUCCGCUUAACGGGUGAAACCACUAAUACCUACGGAGAAAUAUGGGGCAGAAAUAAAAAGGAAAAAUAGUGAAACAAGCUAAUAUAUCUCCCAUA